GACGUAGGGCGCGAGCGUUGUCCGGAUUUAUUGGGCGUAAAGCGCACGUAGGUGGCCUGUUAAGUCGGGUGUGAAAUCCCUGGGCUCAACCCAGGAAGUGCACUCGAAACUGGCAGGCUUGAGUACUGAAGAGGGUCGCGGAAUUCCCGGUGUAGAGGUGAAAUUCGUAGAUAUCGGGAGGAACACCAGUGGCGAAGGCGGCGACCUGGGCAGAUACUGACACUGAGGUGCGAAAGCGUGGGGAGCAAACAGG
RNAcentral lists this ribosomal RNA (253 nucleotides) under uncultured bacterium. RNAcentral's name for it is "partial 16S ribosomal RNA". It matches the Rfam family "Bacterial small subunit ribosomal RNA", at positions 524 to 776 of the family's 1533-position model. The record is from RNAcentral.